RNAcentral lists this transfer RNA (75 nucleotides) under Gammaproteobacteria bacterium. RNAcentral's name for it is "tRNA-Gln". It matches the Rfam family "tRNA". From Rfam's summary of the family: Transfer RNA (tRNA) molecules are approximately 80 nucleotides in length. Their secondary structure includes four short double-helical elements and three loops (D, anti-codon, and T loops). The record is from RNAcentral. Lineage: Bacteria; Pseudomonadati; Pseudomonadota; Gammaproteobacteria.
UGGGCCGUCGCCAAGCGGUAAGGCACCAGGUUUUGAUCCUGGCAUGCGUAGGUUCGAAUCCUACCGGCCCAGCCA